GCAAGACUAGUUUAAUUAAAAUGAUAGUUUGUCUCACUAUUGAUAGCUAUGGCUGUGUUGCU
RNAcentral lists this transfer RNA (62 nucleotides) under Echeneibothrium multiloculatum. Its description in RNAcentral is "tRNA-Asp". Lineage: Eukaryota; Metazoa; Platyhelminthes; Cestoda; Rhinebothriidea; Echeneibothriidae. The record is from RNAcentral.